RNAcentral lists this ribosomal RNA (522 nucleotides) under uncultured bacterium. RNAcentral's name for it is "bacterial SSU rRNA". It matches the Rfam family "Bacterial small subunit ribosomal RNA", at positions 8 to 525 of the family's 1533-position model. The record is from RNAcentral.
AGAGUUUGAUCCUGGCUCAGAUUGAACGCUGGCGGCAUGCUUUACACAUGCAAGUCGAACGGCAGCACGGGGGCAACCCUGGUGGCGAGUGGCGAACGGGUGAGUAAUACAUCGGAACGUGCCCGAUCGUGGGGGAUAACGCAGCGAAAGCUGUGCUAAUACCGCAUACGAUCUACGGAUGAAAGCAGGGGACCGCAAGGCCUUGCGCGGACGGAGCGGCCGAUGGCAGAUUAGGUAGUUGGUGGGAUAAAAGCUUACCAAGCCGACGAUCUGUAGCUGGUCUGAGAGGACGACCAGCCACACUGGGACUGAGACACGGCCCAGACUCCUACGGGAGGCAGCAGUGGGGAAUAUUGGACAAUGGGCGAAAGCCUGAUCCAGCCAUGCCGCGUGAGUGAAGAAGGCCUUCGGGUUGUAAAGCUCUUUCAGCCGGAAAGAAAUCGCGCAGGAUAAUACUCUGCGUGGAUGACGGUACCGGAAGAAGAAGCACCGGCUAACUACGUGCCAGCAGCCGCGGUAAUA